UAAUACACUUGCCUGAAGACCUUGUAUU
This 28-nucleotide non-coding RNA is filed under the name Homo sapiens (human). Lineage: Eukaryota; Metazoa; Chordata; Mammalia; Primates; Hominidae. The record is from RNAcentral.